Molecule: non-coding RNA, 73 nt
Organism: Ovis aries (sheep)
Lineage: Eukaryota; Metazoa; Chordata; Mammalia; Artiodactyla; Bovidae
Source: Rfam
UCUCUGGUGUCUCAGGCUGUAAAGAACCUGCCUGCAAUGCAGGAGACCUGAGUUCAAUCCCUGGGUUGGAGAA